GAGUGCUCCCAAGCCAUGAUGGGAGCGCGGCACACGGCUCCGUAACACGUGGCUAACCUACCCUUGGGACGGGGACAACCCCGGGAAACUGGGGCUAAUCCCAGAUAGGUGAGAGGGCCUGGAAUGGUCUCUCGCUGAAAGGGCAUCGAGAUCACGCUUCUCGGCGUCGCCCAAGGAUGGGGCCGCGGCCGAUCAGGUUGUUGGUGGGGUAACGGCCCACCAAGCCUAUAACCGGUACGGGCCCUGAGAGGGGGAGCCCGGAGAUGGGGACUGAGACAAUGCCCCAGGCCCUACGGGGCGCAGCAGGCGCGAAACCUCCGCAAUGCGCGACAGCGUGACGGGGUCAUCCCGAGUGCCGUCCGCUGAGGGCGGCUUUUUCCCAGUGUAAGGAACUGGGGGAAUAAGGGGAGGGCAAGUCUGGUGUCAGCCGCCGCGGUAAUACCAGCUCCCCGAGUGGUGGGGAUGAUUACUGGGCCUAAAGCGUUCGUAGCCGGCUUGGCAAGUCUUCCGUUAAAUCUGACGAUUUAAUCGCCAGACUGCGGGAGAUACUACCAAGCUAGGGGGCGGGAGAGGCCGGCGGUAGUUCCGGGUAGGGGUGAAAUCCUAUAAUCCCGGGAGGACCACCAGUGGCGAAGGCGGCCGGCCAGAACGCGCCCGACGGUGAGGGACGAAAGCUGGGGGAGCGAACCGGAUUAGAUACCCGGGUAGUCCCAGCCGUAAACGAUGCGGGCUAGGUGUUGGAACGGCUACGUGCCGUUCCAGUGCCGCAGGGAAGCUAUUAAGCCCGCCGCCUGGGAAGUACGGCCGCAAGGCUGAAACUUAAAGGAAUUGGCGGGGGAGCACCACAAGGGGUGAAGCCUGCGGUUUAAUUGGAGUCAACGCCGGGAACCUCACCGGGGGCGACAGCAGGAUGAAGGCCAGAUUAACGGUCUUGCUGGACAAGCUGAGAGGAGGUGCAUGGCCGUCGCCAGUUCGUGCCGUGAGGUGUCCUGUCAAGUCAGGCAACGAACGAGACCCCUGCUCCUAGUUGCCAGCGGAUCCCAUUGGGAUGCCGGGCAAGACUAGGGGGACUGCCGCCGAUAAGGCGGAGGAGGGAGGGGGCCACGGCAGGUCAGCAUGCCCUGAAUCUCCCGGGCCACACGCGGGCUGCAAUGGCAGGGACAGAGGGCUCCGACCCCGAAAGGGGAAGGUAAUCCCUAAACCCUGCCUUAGUUGGAAUCGAGGGCUGCAACCCGCCCUCGUGAACAUGGAAUCCCUA
RNAcentral lists this ribosomal RNA (1258 nucleotides) under uncultured crenarchaeote. Its description in RNAcentral is "bacterial SSU rRNA". It matches the Rfam family "Archaeal small subunit ribosomal RNA", at positions 60 to 1293 of the family's 1478-position model. Lineage: Archaea; Thermoproteati; Thermoproteota. The record is from RNAcentral.